GACGAACGCUGGCGGCGUGCUUAACACAUGCAAGUCGAACGGAAAGGCCCUGCUUUUGUGGGGUUCUCGAGUGGCGAACGGGUGAGUAACACGUGAGUAACCUGCCCUUGACUUUGGGAUAACUUCAGGAAACUGGGGCUAAUACCGGAUAGGAGCUCCUGCUGCAUGGUGGGGGUUGGAAAGUUUCGGCGGUUGGGGAUGGACUCGCGGCUUAUCAGCUUGUUGGUGGGGUAGUGGCUUACCAAGGCUUUGACGGGUAGCCGGCCUGAGAGGGUGACCGGCCACAUUGGGACUGAGAUACGGACCAGACUCCUACGGGAGGCAGCAGUGGGGAAUAUUGCACAAUGGGCGGAAGCCUGAUGCAGAAACGCCGCGUGCGGGAUGACGGCCUUCGUGUUGUAAACCGCUUUCGACUGUGACGAAGCGUGAGUGACGGUAAUGGGUAAAGAAGCACCGGCUAACUACGUG
Molecule: ribosomal RNA, 468 nt
Filed under: uncultured bacterium
Lineage: Bacteria
Description: partial 16S ribosomal RNA
Rfam family: Bacterial small subunit ribosomal RNA
Source: RNAcentral